This 600-nucleotide ribosomal RNA is filed under the name uncultured bacterium. RNAcentral describes it as "bacterial SSU rRNA". It matches the Rfam family "Bacterial small subunit ribosomal RNA", at positions 734 to 1338 of the family's 1533-position model. The record is from RNAcentral.
GUGCGAUUGACGCUGAGGCUCGAAAGUGCGGGUAUCAAACAGGAUUAGAUACCCUGGUAGUCCGCACGGUAAACGAUGGAUGCCCGCUGUUUGCGAUAUACUGUGAGCGGCCAAGAGAAAUCGUUAAGCAUCCCACCUGGGGAGUACGCCGGCAACGGUGAAACUCAAAGGAAUUGACGGGGGCCCGCACAAGCGGAGGAACAUGUGGUUUAAUUCGAUGAUACGCGAGGAACCUUACCCGGGCUUGAACUGCAGGAGAACGAUACAGAGAUGUUGAGGUCCUUCGGGACUCCUGUGGAGGUGCUGCAUGGUUGUCGUCAGCUCGUGCCGUGAGGUGUCGGCUUAAGUGCCAUAACGAGCGCAACCCUUUUCGUCAGUUGCCAUCAGGUGAUGCUGGGCACUCUGGCGAUACUGCCACCGUAAGGUGUGAGGAAGGUGGGGAUGACGUCAAAUCAGCACGGCCCUUACGUCCGGGGCUACACACGUGUUACAAUGGGGAGUACAGAGAGUCAACCGCCGGCAACGUCGGUUUAAUCAAGAAAGCUCUCCUCAGUUCGGAUUGGGGUCUGCAACCCGACCCCAUGAAGCUGGAUUCGCUAG